GCCUGGGUGGCUCAGUCGGUUAAGCGUCUGAUUUUGGCUCAGGUCAUGAUCUCACGGUUCGUGAGUUCGAGCCCCACAUUGGGCC
Molecule: transfer RNA, 85 nt
Filed under: Felis catus (domestic cat)
Lineage: Eukaryota; Metazoa; Chordata; Mammalia; Carnivora; Felidae
Rfam family: tRNA
About the family: Transfer RNA (tRNA) molecules are approximately 80 nucleotides in length. Their secondary structure includes four short double-helical elements and three loops (D, anti-codon, and T loops).
Source: Rfam by way of RNAcentral